AGAAAAUGCAUUGGAAUAUAGACAUUCCAUCAGUCAACCAUUCUCCGGCUUGUGGAGCAACAUUGUGUAAUGGUUCCUUUUGCAGAAGGAAACCUUCGGAAGGUAAUAAAAGAUGUUGGCAGCACAAAGGUAUGAGGGUUAAAGAGCCCAUUUCUAAGCAAUUAGAAGCAGAAAUACCAAGUGUAUUUGCAGGUCCAGCUACCAAAAUUAGCAGUGAGAAAAUGCAUUGGAAUAUAGACAUUCCAUCAGUCAACCAUUCUCCAGCUUGUGGAGCAACAUUGCGUAAUGGUUCCUUUUGCAGAAGGAAACCUUCGAAAGGUAAUAAAAGAUGUUGGCAGCACAAAGGCAUGAAGAGUUGAAAUAGGACCUCCACGACCUGCAUAAUGUAGUUUCAUAAGAGAAUUAUUAAUCAAGUUGUGGUGCACCCUUACGCAGUGGUGUUGGGAUUAUCCUUUUAUUUAAGAAUUAUUUAUUUACUGUAUGUUUGGUCUUUUAUUUAGUUGAAUUGGUCAGCUCCUAGUUAUUAGGAAGUGGACGAGUGGUUUUAGUUGACAUAGUGGAGUCUGUUAGGAGUCCUAGUUAAUGUUUGUUUAGUCGUGGGUUUGUGGGUUUCAUGCGCAGUCAUGAAGGCUCUGUAAAGGCCUACAUAAUGGCUUCUUCUGUUGCAAAUAAAGGUGUGAGUUUGCAGUAUUAAAGAUCCCAUCU
RNAcentral lists this long non-coding RNA (705 nucleotides) under Nicotiana tabacum (common tobacco). RNAcentral describes it as "long non-coding RNA (NTAB_LNC016821)". The record is from RNAcentral. Lineage: Eukaryota; Viridiplantae; Streptophyta; Magnoliopsida; Solanales; Solanaceae.